RNAcentral lists this ribosomal RNA (467 nucleotides) under uncultured bacterium. RNAcentral's name for it is "partial 16S ribosomal RNA". It matches the Rfam family "Bacterial small subunit ribosomal RNA", at positions 29 to 507 of the family's 1533-position model. The record is from RNAcentral.
ACGAACGCUGGCGGCGUGCUUCACACAUGCCAGUCGCACGGAAAGGCCCUGCUUUUGUGGGGUGCUCGAGUGGCGAACGGGUGAGUAACACGUGAGUAACCUGCCCUUGACUUUGGGAUAACUUCAGGAAACUGGGGCUAAUACCGGAUAGGAGCUCCUGCUGCAUGGUGGGGGUUGGAAAGUUUCGGCGGUUGGGGAUGGACUCGCGGCUUAUCAGCUUGUUGGUGGGGUAGUGGCUUACCAAGGCUUUGACGGGUAGCCGGCCUGAGAGGGUGACCGGCCACAUUGGGACUGAGAUACGGCCCAGACUCCUACGGGAGGCAGCAGUGGGGAAUAUUGCACAAUGGGCGGAAGCCUGAUGCAGCAACGCCGCGUGCGGGAUGACGGCCUUCGGGUUGUAAACCGCUUUCGCCUGUGACGAAGCGUGAGUGACGGUAAUGGAUAAAGAAGCACCGGCUAACUACGUG